CAGGCCAGCUUCAACUUGGCCCUGGCCAGCUGUGUGACUUUGGCUUCUGCAAUGAGAGAGCAGGAGCCAAAUGACCAAUGAGACUGGGCAGAAAAAUUCUGCACUCAAGUGGGCCGUCAGAGGAGAAGAGGGCUUAAGGACUGCAGAUGGCUUGGGCUUCUCAGCCAACCCAUUUCUUUUCUUUCCAGAGCUGAAACAGUGAUUAAGGGGGAAAUGUACAAGUUAUUGAAGUGCUGGCGACAGGACGGUGAUUAAAUAGACAUUUAUAUAAGGGACAUGAAAAGACCUCUACCAGUAAUUUGACUUGAGGGAAAUUAGUUUAGAGAAUCAAAUGUAAACCCUGCUCAGGUCUGUAGAUAUCCAAAUUGACCAAUGUCAAGCUUAUUCUGAUAGUGGCUCUUUGGGGGCCACUGUGGCCAGUCAGAAAGUCAUCAAUCAGAUGUCGGCCCAAUUGAAAAGGACUGGUGGAUUAACCAGGCUAUUAGCUUUGUGUGACGGUUGCUUUCAUUCUCCUAAGUGAUUUGCUUGGAUCAGUUACUCAGAUUCAAUCAGCCAAUGCUCAUUAAGUGCCUACUAUGUGAGCGAGGCCCUGACCCACAAAGAUGACCAUAAAUCCCAUCUGUUUCUGGCCAAGAGGCCCACAAAGAUCCAUGUGCUCCAUCAAGGUGGGUAGGGCGAAAAGGAGCUAUCUAUCAUAUAACGAGUGGGGUUGGGGUUUGUGUUGGACACUGUCUCACCACAGUCACAUUCAUCUGUACCAGAAUCAAGUCAGUGUUACGGAAGCCACUGUACAGAUGAGGAAACCGAGGUUCAGGGGAGACACAAGGUCACACAGCUGAGAGACAGCACAGUCAGGGUUCAGCCCAAACUGCAUGCACUGCACACCUGAUGUUUUUUUCCUACGACUCCACUCUGACAACCCCCAGACCUGGUCAUAAGGACAAACGCUCCAACUAAGAGUGUCGCUCACAGCCUCCCAAGCCUUCGCCUGGAGCUUUUUUGGCUGCCUGUGGCUUUUGAACUCCAAGACUCGUCCUGAGUUCCAAGGCCCGCAAACCUGAGAAGGAAAAGCAGUUCUUAAGAGCACGGGAUCAAUAAUGAACUUGCAUUUUCCUGCUCCCGACAGCCAAACUUGGUUGUAGAUCUACGGCAGGGAAUCUACCGGGGGAGCUGAGAAAAACUUUAAAUCCUGCCACCCUCUGAAGCGAAUGACCAUUUUCAUUCUUUCAAGGACACUGAUAACUUGAAGACCUGGAGAAGGCAAUGUUACCAUAUUGAGAUCCAGCUCAGGCCCGUGCUAACAGAUGACUCACUCGUAAUUGGAACAUGAAUUGUUGGUAAAACAAAUAGAGGCUGCUAACGUACUGGGGAAGUUUGUUCUCCUGAGCAUGUCAAAUAUCUCCCCUGACACCAUUUUUUAUACUAUUAAUUUGCUUAGUAAAUUGUUUUCUCGGAUUCCACACACAUUUAUUGAGCUCCUACUCUCUGCCCGGCACUUUUACAUCCAUUAUUUUAUUUCAGCCUGACACUGCUGGACGGCAGAGGAAAGUCUCCCUUUCCCUCGGGUAUAGGUAAGGAAACCAAGGCACAGAGCAGGGUGGUACCUCACCCAAGAUCAUAGAGAGAAGUGCUGGUCUCAGGGUCCCAAAGUCAAGGUGGUUUGCACCCGCCACAUUGAAGUUGCAGCUUUGGCCAGACAAACCGGCUUUCUCAUCCUUAGCCUCGAUUUAUUCCACCUGGAGUGGAAGUUGCAAUACACGUUCCCGUCUCGUUUCAUUCUGGUGGCAAUGGAGGGUGCUUAUUGCGCUCUGCUGGCUGCCUGACUCCAGGGAGGGGAGUGACUUGCCUAGGGUCACAGAGCACAGGAAUGGAAGAAGAGCCAGAAUUUGAAAUCGGGUUGCCUAAGGCACCCUAUACCCCUAGCCCCUCUAUUCUUGGCAGGAAUAGGCUUGAGGGGAUUUUACCUAUGCUGAAAGAUUUUCUUAGGGAGAAAAAGGGACAGAUGUGUGAGCAACUCCUUCAGCAGUGAAAGAAAGGGACUGCUGAGAGCUGGUGUUGUGGCACCUUCCUGAAUCUGUCCAGGACCCCAUCGUCUUUCCCUUCCCCUUAGGCAGGUCUGUUCCAGUGCAAUCCAAAGGGCUGGGGGGUGACUGGGGAGCCCUGCAGGGUGGACGGACAUGCUUCUCCACCUUCAGCAUGCCAGAUGCCUAGUCCCUGAUUCCUAAUAGGGGCGGGGCUUCCAUUUGUAUUUCUAACAAGCUCCUGGGUGAGGCUGAUGCUGCUAUUCUUUGGAUCACAAUUUGGCAGACAGGCUGUGGGUUCCUGGAAGCCCCCUGAAACCUGAGAAUGAGGGACCAGCAUAGCUGUCAAUCAUGUCAAAUUCACUGUCUGUAAGAGUUAUUCGGGAUGCAUCCUAUAGGGAGGGAAGAAAGGGAGCCCAGGGAGGGACAUGUGCUUCCCAGGGAACCCAGGAAGAUGUGCAAAACAGAUGCAUCAUUGUUCCAAGGCGGCCCCUGCUACCCCAGAGCAGGACCAACAGAGGACUUGAACCAAAUCAAAGUGCAAAAGCCCUGUGGUAGGCUGAAUAAUGAAUGGCCCCUUACAGAUGGCCAUGUCCUCAGCCCUAGAUGAGGCUGGUGAAUAUGUUACCUUUGCAGAUGGGAUUCAAUGAAGGACUUUUGAGCUUGGGAGAUUAUUCUGGAUUAUCUUGGUGGACCCCAAUACAACCAAGGGUCCUUCUAACUGAGAAAGGGACACAGUAGAGUCAGAAGGAGAAGAGAUAUAACCAUGGAAGUAGAAGUCAGAGAAUCAGAGAGAGAUUUGAAGACAUCGAGCUGUUGAUGGCUUUGGAAAUGGAGGAGGUGGCCAUGUGUCAAAGAGUGGGGGCUGUCCCUAGAAGCCGGAAAGACAAGGAAAUAGGUUCUACCCUGAAGGCUCCAGAAACAACAACACAUCCCUGCCCAUCCUUUGGUCAGAGCCAGUAAAAUUCAUUUUGACUCCAGCCAACAGGAUAGUAAAUUUGUGUUGUUUGAAGCUACUAAGAUUCCUGGUGAUUUGUUAUAGCAGCACUAGGAAACAAACAAACAAACAAACAAAAAACAUGCUUCACUUGUUUCUGAUAUAUGAAAUAUUUUCCGUUACAGACCUGAAUCCACAUAAUGAAUCAGGCUAGGUGGUUUUGGAGCAGAGUCUGCCUAAAAAUUGGGGAAAUAAAAGGAUUGGUAACAAACAUUCAUCUAGUUAAAAAAAAAAAAAUAGCACGGGAAUAUUUUGACCACACAUUGAUGCAAGUUUGAGAAUUUGGACCCCUGAAAUUUGGAAAAAAAGACCACCAGGAGGGGGCACAAAGAUUUCUCAGGAGUCAGACAGACUCAUAUUCAAAUCCUAGCUCUGCCAGGUAUUAAUAAGGGAGAGCUGGUGGCGGGUGGGGGAGCUUAUCAUCAUCAGGACUCGGACUCCUCAUUUGUAAAACAUGGAUGGUACCUUCCUGGCAGGAUUGUUGUGAAAUUUAAGUAUAGUAUAUUAAUCUUUUGAAAGAUUAUUUAUGGAGAGCCAGCCAUGGGCUAAUGUCAGCAGAUAAAAGUUAAGUAUAAAUACAGAAAGUGCUCCUACUCUUCAGCACAUAAAAGCACUGUGCCAAUGUACAGGUACUAGAUAACUAGGAUCUAUCACUCAUGUCCUCAUCAGCAAGGCCCAGGGGGGAAAAGGCUUGCACAUGUUGUCCCACAAUGCUAGCCAGGAAGCAUCGAGAGGUUUUCCCAUUGCUCCUCUCUGGGUGGGUGGGAGCCUUUUGACUUUUCUUGCCCUUUAGCACUCUGGCCAAAAUUAAAAAUCAGAGAGGGAAAAUCCCAGCUGCCCAAGGUCACACUGUGAGUCACUGGAGAGCCCGAGGUAGGCUGUGGGUGUACUUGUGUUUAAGCCUCCCUCCCGAUGAUCAUUUCUUUUCACCGCAGAAUCAGUCUCUCUGAACUCUCUUCUGCCAGUAUAUGUAUUCUGGCCAUCCCCUUCUGAUUCUGAUGGCAUAUCUGAUCUGAAUGUUGUUGAUACUCUGAUCUCUGGAAGUGAAGGGUUUAAUCUUCUCUUGGAACCCCUCCCAAGGAAAAUUAUUUUCCCACUUUGAAAUGGCACGGGCAUCCACUGUGAACUCACAUCCAUAAAUCUGCCGCGACGGCUCAGGAAAGCAGAUGAGGUUUGAUUCUGCUCCUCAGCACAGUCUCACCGAGCAAAUUAUGGAAAGAAUUUGAUUUAUAGAAGCACCUCAAAGGCUCUGGAGUGAGACGCGUGUUUAUUCACUUUAUUACCAUUUAUUUUACACUAUCUCUUUAUGCUCCCUGCACAUGGAUUGGAAAGACUAUUUGGAUAGAUGCUUGCGGUCUGCCACAUGGCACGGCCCCCGUCGAGGCACAUGGCCGUCUUUGGCGAGGCAGCCGCAGAGGACGGCGGUUGGGGGAUCCUGGUGCCGGUGUUGGGGGAAAAGCCCGGUGGGUGCAGAGAAGGCCAGGGGCGCUGGCCCGGCUCCGCCUGCACGUCCCCAACUCCAUAUUUGCGUGACGCGCAACCAGCUGCAACCCCAGGCUGCGUGCAGGCGGCUUGAUUUAAGAUUCAAAUAUCUCCGAGCAGCUGGGGAUAUUUAACAUCGCAAUAAUUACAUUACAUUUUUUUGACGGUACAUGGAGUGAGAGCCUUUUUUGUUGCUGAAUAUUCCAUGAGCAUCAAAUAUUUUAACCAGCCACGGAAACAGGACUCCAUUUUUCACAUCCAAGUAGUUUCAUUUUUAAAAUUCUGGCUGAGGACGGCAUCUCGGGCUUUCAUCUUUCACCACGUCUUUGGAAGGGCAGGAGUGAGACGUUCCCUCUUCUGCGACAGAGGGACUCAUCUGGAAACCGGUGAAUAGAGAAAUAACAACAGAGUCACAUAACUCCAAAACGAAUCCCCUGCAAACACAAGGCACCAAGGUUUUCUGCAUCCUUUCCUGAUUUUGUGGAUAUCAGUGGACGUGUCCGUGACAGGGUGGAUGCUGCUCUACAACAUGCAAAAAGAAGAUGCUGGCCACUGGGAACCGUUAACGAAUAUUACAAUUAUUCUCUGUUGAAGUCUGGACAAAUCAACUGCAGAGGAGAACUGAGGUUACUGUGUGAUGAUUCAGAUCUCAAAAAAGCAGGUUUUGCUUAA
Non-coding RNA from Ictidomys tridecemlineatus (thirteen-lined ground squirrel), 5172 nucleotides. The record is from RefSeq and is a predicted model, not a curated record. NCBI's taxonomy places the organism in Eukaryota, Metazoa, Chordata, Mammalia, Rodentia, Sciuridae.